UGCAAAUAGAAAACUGCAGGACAGCUGAGCAGUUUCAAGAGGCGCCAGAACGAGGCAGCUCAGUUCUUUUCUGCAGAAGGAAUGCUUUAGGAUACAAUAAAGCAUUGCCUAGACAAUACAGCAGAGUUUUGGGCGUGGGCAAAAAUCACUGUCAACCAACGUCUCUUUUGUCUUAGAUUUGACUUUCAUCAUAUUGAGGAGUCGUCUAUUGAAGGUCUUAUGGGGCUUGUGUAAGUGUUUGCCCAGAAAAUCAAAAUCAAGGAAUACUCAACAACUUGCUUUCCUGGGAGGUUUAUGGAAGUCUUUGAGUGAACUUAUGGAAAUUUAUAUCAAAAGAAGUGAUGAAAGAAAUUUCAAAAAAAUCCAUUCAAGAAAUCUGCUGUUAACAUUUAGUAUGUGCUACAUGCAGUGACAGUCCACAGGUUUGGCCAACUUCCAUCAGGAGCGAAAAGUUUAAUGAGAGGUUUAGUCCAUGCCUGAUGAAACUUUAAUUUAAAAAUUAAAUCUGAAACUUGAAUCCAGCUAUAUUUGUGAAGAUCAUAAGAUGAAUAUAUACCAGAUUUAAAUCUUUUUGGAUGACUCAGAAGAGAAAUGAACUUAAAGUGUAAUGGAGGCCCUUCUAUGCUGAACAUAACUUUAAAACGUUUCUUCUUCUAAGAACCCUAACUUUGUAAGAGAUUGUGAGUCGGUUAUUUCCCCUCAAUCAUGCCACAUGCUCUUUUCUACUUUUGCAAAUGUCCUUCUAUUAAAAGGCCCAUACAUUCAGCACACUUCAAAAUGAUUUUAUCCUUUUUUUUUGACUUCAAAGUAAAUGCUUGAAAUAACAAGAGAAGAAGAAAAGCGCUAAAGUAGUGAGGAUAGGAUUGUGUGUGACUGAGCUUGACAAUAUGAUGGUUGAUUAGCUAUGAUGUUUUCAUGCAUUUGGAAAAAAGGACAGUGGUUCAAACUGUUUUUAUGAUCUGUUGUUUUAGAUCAAUAAUAGCAAUGAGUCCUUGCAAGACUAUUUUCUCCCUUUAUACCCGUUGUCUUAGACUCUUAAGGAACACAUGAAAGACUGAUUUAUAACUUUAUAAGCAGCAAUGAUCUUAAAAGGAAAUUGAUUAAGCAUUUCUCCUCCUCCUCUCUCCUUAAGCUGCUUUCUUUCCAAAAGCUCUCAGAAAUGGAAUAUUUAUUGAGGCUGCCAGUGGGUUCCAUUAGUCAGACUGCACCUGUGGUUUACUAAUAAGUCUAGGCUGUGUUUGCUGUCACUAAUGAUGAUAUGGAAGAAUGCUUUAAUUAUCCCUUUGCAUUGAUCGUGGUUGCUUUUCUUAUGGCUAAGCUGUAACUGUGUUGCACGAUAUCUUUCUUUCAGAGUUUUUCUGUACUACUUGACAUUUCGUUGUUGAUGGUCAUUCUGCAUCGGCAGAAAGAGUAAAUUAGCUUUCCUGCUUGUCAUUUGGGUGAAGAUAAUUUAUAGUUUUACAUUUAGUUAAACAUAUUUUCCCCAACAUAUUGUGGGUAAACACCCAGAAGAGACUGGAGAGGUUAAGCUUCUCUUUUGCAAGGAAAACAUCCCUUUAGAUCGUAGCUACAUGUAUCUAAUAUGGCAACAUUCCUUUCAUUUGGAGUUUAAGUUACUUCUUUUUGUAAAUAUAUCAUACACUCUGAUGUGUAGUCAGGUUAAUACACUCUUAGAGUUGUUAGAUGUUAUUUCAGUCCCUAUAUUUGAGGGUGUUUCUUCCUUUGUUUCUUUGUUAUUUAUAACUCAGAUGUAAUUUGCAGAAAGCUGGAGUCUUUUGAAUACCUCCAGAGUCUGAGUCACCUCAGACUUGGCCAAAUUCUAGUAAAAUGACUUUGGUAGAGCAGAUAUUUAAAUGAUCUUCACUUCACAAAUUUCCCCAGGGAUCCUGCCUUCUUCCAUGAUAUGGUAAAAAGCAUGUAGGCUUUGGACUAGAUAAGCCAGAGUAAGAAAGCACCCUUCUACAACUCUUGCCUGUGCCUUGAGUAGGUUCCUUAGGCUUGCCUCAUGUUCCUAUCAGGAAAAAGUGCUUAUUACCUCUCUUUCAGAGUUCUUAUAAGAUUAAAGAUUACUGUAAUAAAAGAUAUGUAACAUAGCAUGUGUGUGUGUGUGUGUGUGUGUGUGUAAAACAUUGUUCAUGAUACACAGUAGACCCUCAAAUGUAUAUUGUCUUCAGGAAUAGAUUCUUCUUUUUCAUUUGCCUAUGCUUUCAUAAAAAUAGUAAAAAAAAAGUAUCUCAUAUAACUUUAUAGGAACCAUUGCACAAGUGAAUAGUACAUUCUCACCUACUCCAGCUCCUUUGAUAGAAUAAAUGUAAAAAAAAAAUGGUAAACUUGUAGUUUCUAUGAGUAGUUCAAAUUUUAUUACCAUUGUGGAUUGAUUUAUCGCAUCAUACUUUCCUUUAGGAUGAAUUUAAUGCCGAAGAUGUUGACAAUGGAAACAACUCAGUUUUUUGGCUUUUAUUAUUUAUUUUUUGAUUUAAUUUAUUGUGAACUUUUUUCAUUAUUAUUAUUUUUUUAAUAGU
Long non-coding RNA from Sus scrofa (pig), 2522 nucleotides. RefSeq lists it as uncharacterized. The record is from RefSeq and is a predicted model, not a curated record. NCBI's taxonomy places the organism in Eukaryota, Metazoa, Chordata, Mammalia, Artiodactyla, Suidae.